GACGAACGCUGGCGGCGUGCCUAAUACAUGCAAGUCGAGCGGACGGAUGGGAGCUUGCUCCCAGACCGUCAGCGGCGGACGGGUGAGUAACACGUGGGCAACCUGCCUGUAAGACUGGGAUAACUCCGGGAAACCGGGGCUAAUACCGGAUAACUCUUUCCCUCACAUGAGGGAAAGCUGAAAGAUGGCAUCUCGCUAUCACUUACAGAUGGGCCCGCGGCGCAUUAGCUAGUUGGUGAGGUAACGGCUCACCAAGGCGACGAUGCGUAGCCGACCUGAGGGGGUUAUCGGCCACACUGGGACUGAGACACGGCCCAGACUCCUACGGGAGGCAGCAGUAGGGAAUCUUCCGCAAUGGACGAAAGUCUGACGGAGCAACGCCGCGUGAGUGAUGAAGGUUUUCGGAUCGUAAAACUCUGUUGUCGGGGAAGAACAAGUACCGGAGUAACUGCCGGUACCUUGACGGUACCUGACCAGAAAGCCACGGCUAACUACGUG
RNAcentral lists this ribosomal RNA (498 nucleotides) under uncultured bacterium. RNAcentral's name for it is "partial 16S ribosomal RNA". It matches the Rfam family "Bacterial small subunit ribosomal RNA", at positions 28 to 507 of the family's 1533-position model. The record is from RNAcentral.